UGUGUUCGCCAACCCGGAAGCUCUCC
This 26-nucleotide non-coding RNA is filed under the name Homo sapiens (human). Lineage: Eukaryota; Metazoa; Chordata; Mammalia; Primates; Hominidae. The record is from RNAcentral.